RNAcentral lists this ribosomal RNA (254 nucleotides) under uncultured bacterium. RNAcentral's name for it is "partial 16S ribosomal RNA". It matches the Rfam family "Bacterial small subunit ribosomal RNA", at positions 524 to 776 of the family's 1533-position model. The record is from RNAcentral.
UACGUAGGUGGCAAGCGUUGUUCGGAUUUACUGGGCGUAAAGGGCGCGUAGGCGGUCAGCACAAGUCAGUUGUGAAAUCUCCGGGCUUAACUCGGAAAGGUCAACUGAUACUGUGCGACUAGAGUGCAGAAGGGGCAACUGGAAUUCUCGGUGUAGCGGUGAAAUGCGUAGAUAUCGAGAGGAACACCUGCGGCGAAGGCGGGUUGCUGGGCUGACACUGACGCUGAUGCGCGAAAGCCAGGGGAGCGAACGGG